GACGAACGCUGGCGGCGUGCUUAACACAUGCAAGUCGAACGGUGAAGCUCCAGCUUGCUGGAGUGGAUCAGUGGCGAACGGGUGAGUAACACGUGAGCAACCUGCCCCUGACUCUGGAAUAAGCGCUGGAAACGGCGUCUAAUACUGGAUACGAGAAGGGCCCGCAUGGGCACUUUCUGGAAAGUUUUUCGGGUGGGGAUGGGCUCGCGGCCUAUCAGCUUGUUGGUGAGGUAAUGGCUCACCAAGGCGACGACGGGUAGCCGGCCUGAGAGGGCGACCGGCCACACUGGGACUGAGACACGGCCCAGACUCCUACGGGAGGCAGCAGUGGGGAAUAUUGCACAAUGGGCGAAAGCCUGAUGCAGCGACGCCGCGUGAGGGAUGACGGCCUUCGGGUUGUAAACCUCUUUCAGCAGGGAAGAAGCGAAAGUGACGGUACCUGCAGAAGAAGCACCGGCUAACUACGUG
RNAcentral lists this ribosomal RNA (468 nucleotides) under uncultured bacterium. RNAcentral describes it as "partial 16S ribosomal RNA". It matches the Rfam family "Bacterial small subunit ribosomal RNA", at positions 28 to 507 of the family's 1533-position model. The record is from RNAcentral.